UUCCAUUGUAAAUUUAAUUAGUUUGAUUCUGACUAGAAAUUUCUAUUGUAUUGAUUUCAUAUAUAGGUUUUAUUAGAAAUUUAGUUAAGUAGUGUUGAAUAUUGAGAUAUUAAAGUAAUUUAUAAUUAGUUUAAUACAAUAAGUUUGACUAAAGACGUGCCAGCAGUCGCGGUUAGACGAUGAAGCUAAAUGAAAUUUUUUAAUAUUGUAAUUAAUUGUGUUAUUAUUUAUUUUAUAGUAAGAUUAAAAUAAGGUGGAAUUUUUUUAAUUUAUUUGUGUAUAAAUUUUAAUUGAGUUGAAGUUAUGAUUAUACUAUUUAAACCAGGAUUAGAUACCCUGUUAUUUGUAUAGUAAAGUAUGUAUUUGAGUAGUAGUAGAGUUCUUGAAACUUAAAGAAUUUGGCGGUAUAUUAAUCUAUUUAGAGGAACCUGUCCUGUAAUCGAUAACCCCCGUAAAUUUAACCUAGGUUUAAAUAUUAGCUUGUAUAUCGCUGUCGUAAGAUUAUUUUAUGAGAAAUUUUUCUAUAAUAAGGUUUUAUUUAUGUCAAGUCAAGGUGCAGUAUAUGUCUAGGGUUGAGAUGGGUUACAAUAUUUGGUAAAUAUACGGAAAUAAAAAUGUAAUUUUUAUUGAAGGUGGAUUUAAUUGUAAUAUGAGAUUAAUUAUCUUGUUUGGAAUAGUACUAAUAUAUGCACACAUCGCCCGUCACUCUCAUUAUAGUUGAGAAAAGUCGUAACAAAGUAGGCGUAUUGGAAAAUGUGCCUGG
RNAcentral lists this non-coding RNA (763 nucleotides) under Thereuopoda clunifera. Lineage: Eukaryota; Metazoa; Arthropoda; Chilopoda; Scutigeromorpha; Scutigeridae. The record is from RNAcentral.